This 93-nucleotide small RNA is filed under the name Kaistella jeonii. RNAcentral describes it as "Chryseobacterium jeonii Flavo-1 RNA". It matches the Rfam family "Flavo-1 RNA". Lineage: Bacteria; Pseudomonadati; Bacteroidota; Flavobacteriia; Flavobacteriales; Weeksellaceae. The record is from RNAcentral.
AACCAGCCCCGAUUGCAGCGGCAUCCUUUUUCUUUUUGGCGGCUGGGAAGUGGGAUGGCAAAGAAAAAGAUAUAGCGGAAAGCGGGAUCAGCU